Equus caballus (horse) is the source of this 1783-nucleotide long non-coding RNA. NCBI's taxonomy places the organism in Eukaryota, Metazoa, Chordata, Mammalia, Perissodactyla, Equidae. The record is from Ensembl.
GGGAGUGAGUGGGGCUGGCUCACAGCUGAGGGCAUGGAGCAAAUGUGACUGGAAGCAGGGUUGCGCGCCGUGGGAGGGCAGGGCAGGGAGCAAGGGGACGUCGGAAAUGCCCCCUCCGGGUCCAGCCAUCCAAAGAGACGGAUCAGCAACAGAGAACCUGUAAGACUGAGCAAGCAAGUUUGGGAGGCAGACUGGAAAGAUUGCCAGCAUCUGGGGAGACUUAAGUAAUGGGAGCUUUUCAGAGGAUGUCCAGGGCAAAGGAUGUUGGUGGGGCAGAGCUGCAGAGGGUGCCAAGCACAUUCCUGCCAUCCGUGAGACAGAGCUAACAAAUGUCUCUCUUCCACAGAUCUUGCGAAGACCAAAGCAGUCCAGCAGCUCAGAAGAAAUCAUUGAAGAAAGUUGCAGGUACAAGCCCUUAGAAGCAAAGCACCCAGAAGCUGGGGGAUGGAUGCUCAGGACUGCUUCAGCCCCUCCCAAUCACGGAGUGGAUUUCAGCCUUCUCCACAGAGUGCCUCUACCCAUCCACUCUUCUGACCUGCCCACCACUCUCCUCCUCGCCUCCCAAGGACACUAAGGUUCAAAAGAAGUCAGCAAAUUGCCCACUAUUAUACAGCUGAAGGUGGCAGGACGAGGGCUUGAUCCCAAUACAUUGAAGAUGAUAAUAUCAUCCAAGAAAAUCAUAGGCAUUAGAGUGUUUGUUGCACAGCAGUUACUGGAGAGAAAGAUGUUCUUUAUUUUGUUUUCAACUUCACAUCUCAGCAGCUUUGCAGAGUGCCUGGUACCUAAAACCUCUCUGUCAUAUCAUAAGAAAAGAAUGUGUGCAUCUUGACCUUCCUUCCCACUGCGGUCCAUCCAGAGCUCCUGGAAAUGAACACCUUUGACAACGGAUCUGUGACACCUGACCCUAAAGACCAGUUGGGCUGAAUAUCUGCCCAACAGAAACAUUUGAGCACAAAAUACAGCUAUUGUCUUAAUGUGUUUCAUCAGUGGGGACUAGUUUGAACAUUCUGUCCUAUAAUUGUUUUCCGGGUUUAGCUUUUUGUCCACUGUGAAGGCAUGAAGCAAGCAUUUUGAGUUCUCAAUCUGGUAAAACACUGAUUGCUACAUUCACUAAAUUGAAUGUGAUGGUUAAUUUUGUGUGUCAACUUGACUAGGGUAGGGAAUACCCAGAUAUUUGCUCAAAUAUUUUUCUGGGUGUUUCUGUGAGGGUACUUUAGUGAGACUAGCAUUUAAAUUGAUAGCCUGAGUAAAGCAGAUUGCUCUCCUAACGUGGGUGAGCCUCACCAAUCGACUGAAGGCCUGAAUAGAACAAGAAGGCUGAGACCUCCUCCAAGUAAGAGAGAAUUCUUCCAGCCUGAUGGCCAUUGAACAGAGACAUUGGCUUUUUUCCUGCUUUUAGAUUGGAACUGAAACAUCAGGUCUUCCUGUGGCUUGAGCCUGCCAGCCUUCAACUAGAACUACACUGUUGGCUCUUUGGGGUCUCCAUCUUGCGGAUUCACCCUGUAGAUCUUGGGAUUUGCCAACCUAACAUAACCAUGUGAUCCAAUUUCUUAUAAUGGAUCUGUAUCUAUAUCCAUAUCCAUAUCCGUAUCUGUAUCCGUAUCUGUAUCCAUAUCUGUAUCUGUAUCUAUAUCUGUAUCUGUCUAUACACAUAUCCUAUUGCUUCUAUUUCUCUGAAGAACCUUGACUAAUAAAAUGGACAAUCGGAAUUUCUGGUGUGGUUUAGGGUAGACAAAAAAGAUCUCCUGAUGGGUAAAGUGGCAGUGAUGAUAACAAUACGUGG